This is a long non-coding RNA of Ictalurus furcatus (blue catfish), 2099 nucleotides long. RefSeq lists it as uncharacterized. The record is from RefSeq and is a predicted model, not a curated record. The transcript has 2 exons. NCBI's taxonomy places the organism in Eukaryota, Metazoa, Chordata, Actinopteri, Siluriformes, Ictaluridae.
CAACCUUAAAAAAUGAGAAGAGAGAGAGAGAGAGAGAGAGAGAGAGAGAGAGAGAAACCGUUGUGUUGCAAAAUAGCACUUUCGUGUAUUGCUUUCUGUUUGGGGUGGAAAGAAAGGAGACACGAACGCGUUGAAUUAUUUUGGAAACUAAAAACAGUUCUUUGGGAUCCUCCUGAUGUUGUGUGUAUAUACACGUGUGUGUGUGUGUGUGAGUGUGUGUGUGUGAGUUACCUUCUGUUCUCCGAGUCAGCGUUGAUACUUUCUGUAGCGGUAUAUCCCUGUCAACGUUGCGCCUGAGGGUCCACCAGAAAGACAACGCCCCACCCUGGUGUAAAAGGUGUUGGAAUGUCGUCAUGUUUUUCAGUUGGAUGAACAGGUUCUCCGCCGUGAGCCGUCAGUCAGCUAGUCCUCAGAGGCCUUCGUUAACUUUCGGGAAGGACAUCGGAUGAGAGAGGAAAUGAUUUUUGAUGCUUUUUUUUUUUUACCUUUAUUUUCAUACGCCAGGAUAUGACAUCACAGGAUGCUUUCGUGCAUAAACGUCCACGUUUUAUACGCUUUUAGGAAAAUAUAAGAGGUAAAUCACUUCUAUAUCGCUCUCUGAUUCACUUGGAUGUGGACGCUCUGUGUCGUCGUCGUCGUCUACCCCCCCCCCCCCGCCGCCCCCCUUCCCAUGAAGUUUAUACUCUAGCUGCUAUAACGUACGUGAGGACAUGAACUUGUUUCAUGGAUGUUCCGCGACGUUAAAUGUAGCUCUAAACAUAUAAAAAGUAUGAAGUAGUGAGUGUUCUUUAGGAAAUAGAAUCAAAUUGGAGCCUUCAGCAAGUCGCUGUGGUACGAGAGGAGUAAAAGACGUCAGGGCGUUCUGAUUAUUAUUAUUAAUAUUAUUGAGUGUGUUUGUUUUGCUAACAUGUGCCUUGCGCUAGACGUCUCUAGCGGCCGAAUAUUUACAGAGUCUCCAACGUGCUUUACAUAAACUGUCAACCGCAAACCUCGGCUCAAAUUUGAAUACCCACCCCUGACCUGUAUCCUACAAGCUGGACUCAAGUCUAACGCGUAUAUAAAAUGACCUGAAAUGAACACCUCGCGAAAGGUCAGACGUCAUUCGAUCACACGUCUUUAAUGUCGUUAAUUACGGUGAUGCGCUUGACACGCCGUGCGUUUUUCUCAUGGUGUCUCGUUUCACUGAAAGCGACGUGAAGAUGACAAGGAUGUCAUUCGUUCCCACGUAAGGAACCGUGAUCUGCCGUUUGCUUAAGGUGUUAGUGGGCGGGGCUGCGAGUUGACUCAUUGGAAUCUGUUCCUCUUAUUUACACGCCAGACGCGAACACACAAAGAGCCUUGUAACAUGUGCUUCCUCAUCAGUUUGCUGCACGCUGACGAAUGAUCCAGACAUUCCAGUUAGUCAGCUGAGAGAGAGGACAGAGUCGCAGUGAACGAGGCAGAAAAAAAAAGAAAAACGAAGCGGCAGGGAUUAGUCGGUGCCUCGUGGUGAGCGUGUACGUAGCGAGUAUAGCUAGUUGGCUUUGAGAACGAAGCUAGCAUGAAGCCGUGUAACUCAAACAACCGGCGUUUACGUUUGUUAGCUUUAGAAGCUGACUAUAGCUACCACUGUUUCUCAUCAGAAUGGGAAAAGAUUCUGGACAAGCCACGCCCACAAAAAUGACAAACUACACCACAAACUAAUUUAAAAAAAAACAACAAAAACAAAACAAUGAUUAUUAAUAAUCAAUGACGGUUUGGUUUGAUGAAGUGGAGUUACUGUUCCCACGCCGAUGACACGCCGCCACGAAGCGUUUUAUUCCUCUUACACCGCAGCGACUUGCCAACGAUUACGAUUUUUACGUUAUUAACGAGUAUUUUUUUUUUUUAUCCGAAUAAAGGGAGAGAAUAAGCAGAGAGAAUAACGGGAGGGAAUGAGAGAGAGAAAAUAGAGAGAGAAUAAAGGGAGAGAAUGAGAGAGAGAGAGAGAGAGAGAGAGAGAAUAAAGAGAGAGAGAAUAGAGAGGGAAUAAAGGGAGAGAAUGAGAGAGAGAGAGAGAAUAAAGAGAGAGAGAAUAGAGAGGGAAUAAAGGGAGAGAAUGAGAGAGAGAGAGAGAGAGA